CCUACGGGUGGCAGCAGUGAGGAAUAUUGGUCAAUGGGCGCAAGUCUGAACCAGCCAUGCCGCGUGCAGGAAGACGGCUCUAUGAGUUGUAAACUGCUUUUAUACGAGGGUAAACGCAGAUACGUGUAUCUGUCUGAAAGUAUCGUACGAAUAAGGAUCGGCUAACUCCGGGCCAGCAGCCGCGGUAAGACGGAGGAUUCAAGCGUUAGCCGGAUUUAUUGGGUUUAAAGGGUGCGUAGGCGGUCGGAUAAGUUAGAGGUGAAAUCCCGAGGCGCAACUUCGGAAUUGCCUGUGAUACUGUUCGGCGAGAGAGUAGUUGCGGUUGGCGGAAUGUAUGGUGUAGCGGUGAAAUGCUUAGAGAUCAUACAGAACACCGAUUGCGAAGGCAGCUUACCAGGCUACUUCUGACGUUGAGGCACGAAAGCGUGGGGAGCGAACAGGAUUAGAUACCCCGGUAGUC
Molecule: ribosomal RNA, 460 nt
Filed under: uncultured bacterium
Lineage: Bacteria
Description: partial 16S ribosomal RNA
Rfam family: Bacterial small subunit ribosomal RNA
Source: RNAcentral